RNAcentral lists this transfer RNA (67 nucleotides) under Meghimatium bilineatum. Its description in RNAcentral is "tRNA-Arg". Lineage: Eukaryota; Metazoa; Mollusca; Gastropoda; Stylommatophora; Philomycidae. The record is from RNAcentral.
GUAGUAGUGGCUUUUGUCUCGUAAGUUUCGGCCUUACUAAUAAAAUCUUUUUUGAUUUUCUACUAUU